AGUGAACGCUGGCGGUAGGCCUAACACAUGCAAGUCGAACGGCAGCACAGUAAGAGCUUGCUCUUACGGGUGGCGAGUGGCGGACGAGUGAGGAAUACAUCGGAAUCUACUUUUUCGUGGGGGAUAACGUAGGGAAACUUACGCUAAUACCGCAUACGACCUACGGGUGAAAGCAGGGGAUCUUCGGACCUUGCGCGAUUGAAUGAGCCGAUGUCGGAUUAGCUAGUUGGCGGGGUAAAGGCCCACCAAGGCGACGAUCCGUAGCUGGUCUGAGAGGAUGAUCAGCCACACUGGAACUGAGACACGGUCCAGACUCCUACGGGAGGCAGCAGUGGGGAAUAUUGGACAAUGGGCGCAAGCCUGAUCCAGCCGUACCGCGUGGGUGAAGAAGGCCUUCGGGUUGUAAAGCCCUUUUGUUGGGAAAGAAAAGCAGCAGGUUAAUACCCCGCUGUUCUGACGGUACCCAAAGAAUAAGCACCGGCUAACUUCGUG
RNAcentral lists this ribosomal RNA (492 nucleotides) under uncultured bacterium. RNAcentral describes it as "partial 16S ribosomal RNA". It matches the Rfam family "Bacterial small subunit ribosomal RNA", at positions 29 to 507 of the family's 1533-position model. The record is from RNAcentral.